RNAcentral lists this transfer RNA (90 nucleotides) under Candidatus Moraniibacteriota bacterium. RNAcentral describes it as "Candidatus Moranbacteria bacterium (sediment metagenome) tRNA-Ser". It matches the Rfam family "tRNA". From Rfam's summary of the family: Transfer RNA (tRNA) molecules are approximately 80 nucleotides in length. The record is from RNAcentral. Lineage: Bacteria; Candidatus Moraniibacteriota.
GGAGAGAUGCCAGAGCGGUUGAAUGGGCCGCACUCGAAAUGCGGUGUGCCGGAAACGUCACCUAGGGUUCGAAUCCCUAUCUCUCCGCCA